GAGCACGCCGCGUGAGGGAUGAAGGCCUCUGGGCUGUAAACCUCUUUUCUCAAGGAAGAAGACCUGACGGUACUUGAGGAAUAAGCCACGGCUAACUCCGUGCCAGCAGCCGCGGUAAUACGGGAGUGGCAAGCGUUAUCCGGAAUUAUUGGGCGUAAAGCGUCCGCAGGCGGCCCUGUAAGUCUGUCGUUAAAGCGUGGAGCUCAACUCCAUUUCAGCGAUGGAAACUACAGGGCUUGAGUGUGGUAGGGGCAGAGGGAAUUCCCGGUGUAGCGGUGAAAUGCGUAGAUAUCGGGAAGAACACCAGUGGCGAAGGCGCUCUGCUGGGCCAUAACUGACGCUCAUGGACGAAAGCCAGGGGAGCGAAAGGGAUUAGAUACCCCUGUAGUCCUGGCCGUAAACGAUGAACACUAGGUGUCGGGGGAAUCGACCCCCUCGGUGUCGUAGCCAACGCGUUAAGUGUUCCGCCUGGGGAGUACGCACGCAAGUGUGAAACUCAAAGGAAUUGACGGGGGCCCGCACAAGCGGUGGAGUAUGUGGUUUAAUUCGAUGCAACGCGAAGAACCUUACCAGGGUUUGACAUCCUGCGAACCCCCUGGAAACGGGGGGGUGCCUUCGGGAACGCAGUGACAGGUGGUGCAUGGCUGUCGUCAGCUCGUGUCGUGAGAUGUUGGGUUAAGUCCCGCAACGAGCGCAACCCACGUCGUUAGUUGCCAGCAUUCAGUUGGGCACUCUAGCGAGACCGCCGGUGAUAAACCGGAGGAAGGUGUGGAUGACGUCAAGUCAUCAUGCCCCUUACAUCCUGGGCUACACACGUACUACAAUGCUACGGACAAAGGGCCGCAAGCUCGCGAGAGUUAGCAAAUCCCAUAAACCGUGGCUCAGUUCAGAUCGUAGGCUGCAACUCGCCUACGUGAAGGAGGAAUCGCUAGUAAUCGCAGGUCAGCAUACUGCGGUGAAUACGUUCCCGGGCCUUGUACACACCGCCCGUCACACCAUGGAAGUUGGCCACGCCCGAAGUCGUUACUCCAACCCUUGUGGAGGAGGACGCCGAAGGUGGGGCUGAUGACUGGGGUGAAGUCGUAACAAGGUAGCCGUACCGGAAGGUG
Molecule: ribosomal RNA, 1109 nt
Filed under: uncultured cyanobacterium
Lineage: Bacteria; Bacillati; Cyanobacteriota
Description: bacterial SSU rRNA
Rfam family: Bacterial small subunit ribosomal RNA
Source: RNAcentral